UUCAAAAAAAAGAAGGAAUAAGAGAAGAAGGAACAACAAACCAACCCCAAACGAGCAAAUUUGAUAACAUUUUGGCAUUUUACGAAUUUUGUUUUUGUAAAGUUGUAAAAAAAAAAGUAAAAAAACUAUUGGUUUAUAACCCUAUUUGUAUUUAUUUGGAAACUUGGCUAUCCAAAGUGUCCAAUUGUUUAGUCUAUUUUUUAUUUUCUAUUUUGAAACAAUUUUGUUCAAGCAGAUAUACCACGAAUAGAUUUAGACUAAGGCACAAUAGCAAUAUGCCUAAAAUAAAAGCUUUAGGUGAAAAAAACAAAAAAAAAUUGUUAAAAAAAGGAAUAAAAACAAAAAAAAAAACAUUGUAUUAUCAAUCGUUUAGUAAUUUUAACGAUAUGAAAAAAAAAGAAAUAGAUUUUAAAAGAAACAUAAUAAGUUUUUAUAAACUAGUAUUAAAUUAUUUUUUUGAUUUUGAUUAUAUUAGGGAGGAGUUAAAUUUGGUUGGUUCUGGUAUACGUAGAAAUUUGUUGGACCAUGAAUGUAAAGCUAAGUUACCAAGUGCUGGUGAGGCUUCGAUUAGUAGUGGAAGUAGUAGUAGUGGAAGUAGUAGCAGUGGUAGUAGUGGCAGUAGCAGUGGUAGUAGUGGCAGUAGUAGUGGCAGUAGUAGUGGCAGUAGUAGUGGCAGUAGCAGUGACAGUGGCAGUAGCAGUGACAGUGGCAGUAGCAGUGGCAGUAACAGUAACAGUAGCAGUAGCAGUGACAGUAGCAGUGGCAUGUGUUUACCGCAUAAACAAGCAAGAAAUAAUAAGAGCAGUGCCAAAACACGCGACAUGUGCUUUUGCUUCCUGAACAAAUAUGAAAUAAAAAACAAAAUUAAAAUAGUUAAAAUAAAAAAUGAAAGAAAAAAAAAAAGAAAAGAAAGAACAGGGCACUUUUAUAUAAUGAGAUAUAAAUUUUAUGAGCAAAAAAUUGAUUUAUUUAUGGAUUCAGAGAAAGGUAAAUUUAUUUUUAAAUGUCAUUGGGAAGACAGUUUUAUAAAUCUUAUUGGUUUGUAUUACAAUUUGAAACUAAUUAUAUAUGUAAUUUAUCUGUUAAAAUAUUUUUCUUUAUAUAUAUAUAUUUAUAAUUUAUUAAAAAAGAAUUUUGUUAAUUUAUUACCUGGAAAUGCUCAAAGUAUUGGUAGUAAAAACACUAAUAUUAAUAAUCUUGAUAAUAGUAAUAAUAAUGUUAAUACUAAUGGAAGUUUUAAAUUAAUCAACAAAUAUAUGAACUGUCAUUUUUAUUAUCACAAACUACAAUUAUAUGACUUUUUAAAAAAAUAUAAUUAUUCAAUAAAUAUAGACUUAACAAACUUUUUAAGCAAUUUUUUUGAAUAUAUAGAUUUCUGGUAUUAUCUUUAUGUACCUAAGGGGGGUGGUACCACUUCUUCAUCUGGUAGUUAUUAUGAGCGAUUCGAGUUGUUUAUGCGAAAUAUUAUUCAUUCUUAUAGUUCGACAGGUGGUAGUAGUGGUAGUAGUAGUAGUAGUAGUAGUAGUAAUGGUGGUAGUAGUAGUGGUGCUACUACUGGUGAUGACGAUAGGAUUUUUGAAACUAGCUGUAAUAAUAGUAAUAUUCCUGAAGAAUAUGUGUUCCGCUCAAGUAAUUAUAAAAGUAGUGAAAAUGUUGCCAAUAAAAAUGGAACAAAAAAAAAUAUGAUUUUAAAAAAAAGUAAAAAAAAUAGGUCUUAUAGACAUAAUUUUUUUACAAUUUUUUAUUAUACUAUUUAUAUACAGGAUAAAACACCAG
Molecule: long non-coding RNA, 1776 nt
Organism: Piliocolobus tephrosceles (Ugandan red Colobus)
Lineage: Eukaryota; Metazoa; Chordata; Mammalia; Primates; Cercopithecidae
Source: Ensembl